This 253-nucleotide ribosomal RNA is filed under the name uncultured bacterium. Its description in RNAcentral is "partial 16S ribosomal RNA". It matches the Rfam family "Bacterial small subunit ribosomal RNA", at positions 524 to 776 of the family's 1533-position model. The record is from RNAcentral.
UACGUAGGGUGCAAGCGUUGUCCGGAAUUAUUGGGCGUAAAGAGCUCGUAGGCGGUUCGUAGCGUCGGCUGUGAAAACCUGAGGCUCAACCUCAGGCCUGCAGUCGAUACGGGCGGACUUGAGUACUGCAGGGGAGACUGGAAUUCCUGGUGUAGCGGUGAAAUGCGCGGAUAUCAGGAGGAACACCGGUGGCGAAGGCGGGUCUCUGGGCAGUAACUGACGCUGAGGAGCGAAAGCGUGGGGAGCGAACAGG